AUUGAACGCAGGCGGCAGGCUUAACACAUGCAAGUCGAGCGGGGUGAUGGUGCUUGCACUAUCACUUAGCGGCGGACGGGUGAGUAAUGCUUAGGAAUCUGCCUAUUAGUGGGGGACAACAUCUCGAAAGGGAUGCUAAUACCGCAUACGUCCUACGGGAGAAAGCAGGGGAUCACUUGUGACCUUGCGCUAAUAGAUGAGCCUAAGUCGGAUUAGCUAGUUGGGGGGGUAAAGGCCUACCAAGGCGACGAUCUGUAGCGGGUCUGAGAGGAUGGAUCGCCACACCGGGACGGAGACACGGCCCAGACUCCUUCGGGAGGGAGCAGUGGGGAAUAUUGGACAAUGGGGGGAACCCUGAUCCAGCCAUGCCGCGUGUGUGAAGAAGGACUUAUGGUUGUAGAGCACUUUAAGCGAGGAGGAGGCUCUUUUGGUUAAUACCCAAGAUGAGUGGACGUUACUCGCAGAAUAAGCACCGGCUAACUCUGUGCCAGCCGCCGCCGCAG
This 503-nucleotide ribosomal RNA is filed under the name uncultured bacterium. Its description in RNAcentral is "partial 16S ribosomal RNA". It matches the Rfam family "Bacterial small subunit ribosomal RNA", at positions 30 to 523 of the family's 1533-position model. The record is from RNAcentral.